ACGUAGGGUGCGAGCGUUAAUCGGAAUUACUGGGCGUAAAGCGUGCGCAGGCGGUUGUGUAAGACAGAUGUGAAAUCCCCGGGCUCAACCUGGGAACUGCGUUUGUGACUGCACAACUAGAGUACGGCAGAGGGAGGUGGAAUUCCGCGUGUAGCAGUGAAAUGCGUAGAGACGCGGAGGAACACCGAUGGCGAAGGCAGCCUACUGGGACAGUACUGACGCUCAGGCACGAAAGCGAGGGGAGCGAACAG
This 251-nucleotide ribosomal RNA is filed under the name uncultured prokaryote. RNAcentral describes it as "partial 16S rRNA". It matches the Rfam family "Bacterial small subunit ribosomal RNA", at positions 525 to 775 of the family's 1533-position model. The record is from RNAcentral.